This 306-nucleotide ribosomal RNA is filed under the name uncultured Pseudomonadota bacterium. RNAcentral's name for it is "bacterial SSU rRNA". It matches the Rfam family "Bacterial small subunit ribosomal RNA", at positions 29 to 351 of the family's 1533-position model. The record is from RNAcentral. Lineage: Bacteria; Pseudomonadati; Pseudomonadota.
AACGAACGCUGGCGGCAUGCCUAACACAUGCAAGUCGAACGAGACCCCGACUUCGGUUGGACGUCUAGUGGCGCACGGGUGCGUAACGCGUGGGAAUCUGCCCUUCGGUUCGGAACAACAGUUAGAAAUGACUGCUAAUACCGGAUGAUGACGUAAGUCCAAAGAUUUAUCGCCGAAGGAUGAGCCCGCGUAGGAUUAGCUAGUUGGUAAGGUAAAAGCUUACCAAGGCGACGAUCCUUAGCUGGUCUGAGAGGAUGAUCAGCCACACUGGGACUGAGACACGGCCCAGACUCCUACGGGUGGCAG